Molecule: microRNA precursor, 67 nt
Filed under: Bombyx mori (domestic silkworm)
Lineage: Eukaryota; Metazoa; Arthropoda; Insecta; Lepidoptera; Bombycidae
Description: mir-2774 microRNA precursor family
Rfam family: mir-2774 microRNA precursor family
Source: Rfam by way of RNAcentral
ACAACAUUCUGACCAUCGGUCUACCGUGCAAUAUCACCCACUCGGUGGAAGAUUUUCCCAUUGUCGC